AUUGAACGCUGGCGGCAUGCUUUACACAUGCAAGUCGAACGGCAGCGCGGGCUUCGGCCUGGCGGCGAGUGGCGAACGGGUGAGUAAUGCAUCGGAACGUGCCCAGUAGUGGGAGAUAGCCCGGCGAAAGGCGGAUUAAUACCGCAUACUACCUGAGGGUGAAAGCGGGGGACCGAAAGACCUCUCGCCAUUGGGACGGCCGAUGUCGGAUUAGCUAGUUGGUGGGGUAAAGGCUUACCAAGGCGACGAUCCGUAGCUGGUCUGAGAGGACGACCAGCCACACUGGGACUGAGACACGGCCCAGACUCCUACGGGAGGCAGCAGUGGGGAAUUUUGGACAAUGGGGGCAACCCUGAUCCAGCCAUGCCGCGUGCGGGAAGAAGGCCUUCGGGUUGUAAACCGCUUUUGUUCGGGAAGAAAAGCUCUGGGCUAAUACCCCGGGGGGAUGACGGUACCGGAAGAAUAAGCACCGGCUAACUACGUG
RNAcentral lists this ribosomal RNA (484 nucleotides) under uncultured bacterium. RNAcentral's name for it is "partial 16S ribosomal RNA". It matches the Rfam family "Bacterial small subunit ribosomal RNA", at positions 29 to 507 of the family's 1533-position model. The record is from RNAcentral.